Molecule: ribosomal RNA, 468 nt
Filed under: uncultured bacterium
Lineage: Bacteria
Description: partial 16S ribosomal RNA
Rfam family: Bacterial small subunit ribosomal RNA
Source: RNAcentral
GAUGAACGCUGGCGGCGUGCUUAACACAUGCAAGUCGAACGGUGAAGGCGGAGCUUGCUCUGCUGGAUCAGUGGCGAACGGGUGAGUAACACGUGAGCAAUCUGCCCCUGACUCUGGGAUAAGCGCUGGAAACGGCGUCUAAUACUGGAUACGAGCUGCGAAGGCAUCUUCAGCAGCUGGAAAGAACUUCGGUCAGGGAUGAGCUCGCGGCCUAUCAGCUUGUUGGUGAGGUAACGGCUCACCAAGGCGUCGACGGGUAGCCGGCCUGAGAGGGUGACCGGCCACACUGGGACUGAGACACGGCCCAGACUCCUACGGGAGGCAGCAGUGGGGAAUAUUGCACAAUGGGCGAAAGCCUGAUGCAGCAACGCCGCGUGAGGGACGACGGCCUUCGGGUUGUAAACCUCUUUUAGCAGGGAAGAAGCGAAAGUGACGGUACCUGCAGAAAGAGCGCCGGCUAACUACGUG